GACGAACGCUGGCGGCGUGCUUAACACAUGCAAGUCGAACGGAAAGGCCCUGCUUUUGUGGGGUGCUCGAUUGGCGAACGGGUGAGUAACACGUGAGUAACCUGCCCUUGACUUUGGGAUAACUUCAGGAAACUGGGGCUAAUACCGGAUAGGAGCUCCUGCUGCAUGUUGGGGGUUGGAAAGUUUCGGCGGUUGGGGAUGGACUCGCGGCUUAUCAGCUUGUUGGUGGGGUAGUGGCUUACCAAGGCUUUGACGGGUAGCCGGCCUGAGAGGGUGACCGGCCACAUUGGGACUGAGAUACGGACCAGACUCCUACGGGAGGCAGCAGUGGGGAAUAUUGCACAAUGGGCGGAAGCCUGAUGCAGCAACGCCGCGUGCGGGAUGACGGCCUUCGGGUUGUAAACCGCUUUCGCAUGUGACGAAGCGUGAGUGACGGUAAUGGGUAAAGAAGCAACGGCUAACUACGUG
Molecule: ribosomal RNA, 468 nt
Filed under: uncultured bacterium
Lineage: Bacteria
Description: partial 16S ribosomal RNA
Rfam family: Bacterial small subunit ribosomal RNA
Source: RNAcentral